AUUGAACGCUGGCGGCAGGCUUAACACAUGCAAGUCGAGCGGGGGAAGGUAGCUUGCUACCGGACCUAGCGGCGGACGGGUGAGUAAUGCUUAGGAAUCUGCCUAUUAGUGGGGGACAACAUCUCGAAAGGGAUGCUAAUACCGCAUACGUCCUACGGGAGAAAGCAGGGGAUCUUCGGACCAUGCGCUAAUAGAUGAGCCUAAGUCAGCUUAGCUAGUUGGUGGGGUAAAGGCCUACCAAGGCGACGAUCUGUAGCGGGUCUGAGAGGAUGAUCCGCCACACUGGGACUGAGACACGGCCCAGACUCCUACGGGAGGCAGCAGUGGGGAAUAUUGGACAAUGGGGGGAACCCUGAUCCAGCCAUGCCGCGUGUGUGAAGAAGGCCUUAUGGUUGUAAAGCACUUUAAGCGAGGAGGAGGCUACUCUAGUUAAUACCUAGGGAUAGUGGACGUUACUCGCAGAAUAAGCACCGGCUAACUCUGUGCCAGCAGCCGCCGCAG
RNAcentral lists this ribosomal RNA (501 nucleotides) under uncultured bacterium. RNAcentral describes it as "partial 16S ribosomal RNA". It matches the Rfam family "Bacterial small subunit ribosomal RNA", at positions 30 to 523 of the family's 1533-position model. The record is from RNAcentral.